This 253-nucleotide ribosomal RNA is filed under the name uncultured bacterium. Its description in RNAcentral is "partial 16S ribosomal RNA". It matches the Rfam family "Bacterial small subunit ribosomal RNA", at positions 524 to 776 of the family's 1533-position model. The record is from RNAcentral.
GACAGAGGAUGCAAGCGUUAUCCGGAAUGAUUGGGCGUAAAGCGUUUGUAGGCGGCUUUUUAAGUUCGCCGUCAAAUCCCAGGGCUCAACCCUGGACAGGCGGUGGAAACUACCAAGCUGGAGUACGGUAGGGGCAGAGGGAAUUUCCGGUGGAGCGGUGAAAUGCGUAGAGAUCGGGAAGAACACCAACGGCGAAAGCACUCUGCUGGGCCGACACUGACACUGAGAGACGAAAGCUAGGGGAGCGAAUGGG